This 465-nucleotide ribosomal RNA is filed under the name Vreelandella stevensii. RNAcentral's name for it is "partial 16S ribosomal RNA". It matches the Rfam family "Bacterial small subunit ribosomal RNA", at positions 338 to 795 of the family's 1533-position model. Lineage: Bacteria; Pseudomonadati; Pseudomonadota; Gammaproteobacteria; Oceanospirillales; Halomonadaceae. The record is from RNAcentral.
CCUACGGGGGGCUGCAGUGGGGAAUAUUGGACAAUGGGGGCAACCCUGAUCCAGCCAUGCCGCGUGUGUGAAGAAGGCCCUCGGGUUGUAAAGCACUUUCAGUGAGGAAGAACGCCUGGUGGUUAAUACCCAUCAGGAAAGACAUCACUCACAGAAGAAGCACCGGCUAACUCCGUGCCAGCAGCCGCGGUAAUACGGAGGGUGCGAGCGUUAAUCGGAAUUACUGGGCGUAAAGCGCGCGUAGGUGGCUUGAUAAGCCGGUUGUGAAAGCCCCGGGCUCAACCUGGGAACGGCAUCCGGAACUGUCAAGCUAGAGUGCAGGAGAGGAAGGUAGAAUUCCCGGUGUAGCGGUGAAAUGCGUAGAGAUCGAGAGGAAUACCAGUGGCGAAGGCGGCCUUCUGGACUGACACUGACACUGAGGUGCGAAAGCGUGGGUAGCAAACAGGAUUAGAUACCCGAGUAGUC